RNAcentral lists this ribosomal RNA (509 nucleotides) under uncultured bacterium. RNAcentral's name for it is "bacterial SSU rRNA". It matches the Rfam family "Bacterial small subunit ribosomal RNA", at positions 19 to 518 of the family's 1533-position model. The record is from RNAcentral.
CUGGCUCAGAACGAACGCUGGCGGCGCGUUUAAGCAUGCAAGUCGAGCGGCAAGGGCCUUCGGGCCCCUAGAGCGGCGGACGGGUGAGUAACACGUGGACAAUCUGCCCCCCGGCCCGGGAUAGCCCAGGGAAACCUGGAUUAAUACCGGAUGAGACGGGACCCGCGAUGGCGGGAUCCGGGAAAGGCGCUGCGGCGCCGCCGGGGGAUGAGUCUGCGUCCCAUUAGCUAGACGGCGGGGUAACGGCCCACCGUGGCGACGAUGAGUAGCCGGCCUGAGAGGGUGGACGGCCACAUUGGAACUGAGACACGGUCCAGACUCCUACGGGAGGCAGCAGCUAAGAAUCUUCCGCAAUGGGCGAAAGCCUGACGGAGCGACGCCCGCGUGAACGAAGAAGGCCGUGAGGUUGUAAAGUUCUUUUCGGGAGGGGGAACAACCGUGGCAGGGAAUGGCCGCGGGAUGACGUGAAUCCCGGAAUAAGCCCCGGCUAACUACGUGCCAGCAGCCGC